ACGCUCGACACCUAGGAGGCAGCAGUGGGGAAUAUUGCACAAUGGAGGAAACUCUGAUGCAGCGAUGCCGCGUGAGGGAAGAAGGUUUUCGGAUUGUAAACCUCUGUCUUUGGGGACGAUAAUGACGGUACCCAAGGAGGAAGCUCCGGCUAACUACGUGCCCGCAGCCGCGGUAAUCUGAGCGGGCUGGCAAGGC
Molecule: ribosomal RNA, 196 nt
Filed under: uncultured bacterium
Lineage: Bacteria
Description: partial 16S ribosomal RNA
Rfam family: Bacterial small subunit ribosomal RNA
Source: RNAcentral